Molecule: ribosomal RNA, 2044 nt
Filed under: Phyllopsora sp. AFTOL 4888
Lineage: Eukaryota; Fungi; Ascomycota; Lecanoromycetes; Lecanorales; Ramalinaceae
Description: partial 18S ribosomal RNA
Rfam family: Eukaryotic small subunit ribosomal RNA
Source: RNAcentral
CAGUUAUCGUUUAUUUGAUAGUACCUUACUACUUGGAUACCUGUGGUAAUUCUAGAGCUAAUACAUGCUGAAAACCUCAACUUCGGAAGGGGUGUAUUUAUUAGAUAAAAAGCCAAUGCCCUUCGGGGCUCUCCGGUGAUUCAUAAUAACUUCACGAAUCGCAUGGCCUUGAGCCGGCGAUGGUUCAUUCAAAUUUCUGCCCUAUCAACUUUCGAUGGUUAUGUAGUGGAUAACCAUGGUCUCUACGGGUAACGGGGAAUUAGGGUUCGGUUCCGGAGAGGGAGCCUGAGAAACGGCUACCACAUCCAAGGAAGGCAGCAGGCGCGCAAAUUACCCAAUCCCGACACGGGGAGGUAGUGACAAUAAAUACUGAUGACGAGCUCUUUUGGGUUUGUCAAUUGGAAUGAGUACAAUCUAAAUCCCUUAACGAGGAACAAUUGGAGGGCAAGUCUGGUGCCAGCAGCCGCGGUAAUUCCAGCUCCAAUAGCGUAUAUUAAAGUUGUUGCAGUUAAAAAGCUCGUAGUUGAAACUUGGGUCUGGCUGACCGGUCCGCCUCACCGCGUGCACUGGCUCGGCCGGGCCUUUCCUUCUGGGGAGCCCCAUGCCCUUCGGUGGGUGUGGCGGGGAACCAGGACUUUUACUUUGAAAAAAUUAGAGUGUUCAAAGCAGGCCUAUGCUCGAAUACAUUAGCAUGGAAUAAUAGAAUAGGACGUGUGGUUCUAUUUUGUUGGUUUCUAGGACCGCCGUAAUGAUUAAUAGGGAUAGUCGGGGGCAUCAGUAUUCCAUUGUCAGAGGUGAAAUUCUUGGAUUUAUGGAAGACUAACUACUGCGAAAGCAUUUGCCAAGGAUGUUUUCAUUAAUCAGUGAACGAAAGUUAGGGGAUCGAAGACGAUCAGAUACCGUCGUAGUCUUAACCAUAAACUAUGCCGACUAGGGAUCGGACGGUGUUAUUAUUUUGACCCGUUCGGCACCUUACGAGAAAUCAAAGUUUUUGGGUUCUGGGGGGAGUAUGGUCGCAAGGCUGAAACUUAAAGACAUUGACGGAAGGGCACCACCAGGCGUGGAGCCUGCGGCUUAAUUUGACUCAACACGGGGAAACUCACCAGGUCCGGACAAAAAUAGGAUUGACAGAUUGAGAGCUCUUUCUUGAUCUUUUGGGUGGUGGUGCAUGGCCGUUCUUAGUUGGUGGGUUAUUCUGAAGCCUGGUUUGGGAUCGAUCUCGCUAACUGUUUGAAUUUUUCUAGGUGGAGUGAUUUGUCUGCUUAAUUGCGAUAACGAACGAGACCUUAACCUGCUAAAUAGCCCGGUCAGCCUUGGCUGGCCGCCGGCUUCUUAGAGGGACUAUCGGCUCAAGCCGAUGGAAGUUUGAGGCAAUAACAGGUCUGUGAUGCCCUUAGCAUUAGGGGUAAUGUCUACUAGUCUGGGUGUACUGGGUCACCUUUACACACUCCCAGGCAACAUCUCUACUCUUGACGGCAAGUUUUUCUGUAAACAAGCCGCAGUCUUUCCAUGACAAUUAGAGUGAGGGCGGGCUUUUCUGGAAAUAAGAUGAUCAAAGCAUAACAUUUUAUUUUGAUGCCUGCUGGCUCUUUUUUCACAUGGGGAGAUUCAGAGACUAAACAGAGGUGGGGAUCCUAGCCUUUUAGGGUCUUUUUAAUAUAGUCCGACUUGUAUAGGAUAACCUCCUGUACCGUUUGUGUAGAUGUCCUGGGCUGCACGGUAAGUUCUAAGGAAUUCCCAAUUAUUCUGGUUCGUGUGAAUCACGGCUAACGGUUCAAUUAGCGCGCUACACUGACAGAGACAACGAGUUCAUCUCCUUGGCCGGAAGGUCUGGGUAAUCUUGUUAAACUCUGUCGUGCUGGGGAUAGAGCAUUGCAAUUAUUGCUCUUCAACGAGGAAUGCCUAGUAAGCGCAAGUCAUCAGCUUGCGUUGAUUACGUCCCUGCCCUUUGUACACACCGCCCGUCGCUACUACCGAUUGAAUGGCUCAGUGAGGCCUUCGGACUGGCCCAGAGAGGGCGGAAACGCCCACUCAGGGCCGGAAA